Molecule: ribosomal RNA, 484 nt
Filed under: uncultured bacterium
Lineage: Bacteria
Description: partial 16S ribosomal RNA
Rfam family: Bacterial small subunit ribosomal RNA
Source: RNAcentral
AUUGAACGCUGGCGGCAGGCCUAACACAUGCAAGUCGAGCGGAUGAAGGGAGCUUGCUCCUGGAUUCAGCGGCGGACGGGUGAGUAAUGCCUAGGAAUCUGCCUGGUAGUGGGGGAUAACGUCCGGAAACGGGCGCUAAUACCGCACACGUCCUGAGGGAGAAAGUGGGGGAUCUUCGGACCUCUCGCUAUCAGAUGAGCCUAGGUCGGAUUAGCUAGUUGGUGGGGUAAAGGCCUACCAAGGCGACGAUCCGUAACUGGUCUGAGAGGAUGAUCAGUCACACUGGAACUGAGACACGGUCCAGACUCCUACGGGAGGCAGCAGUGGGGAAUAUUGGACAAUGGGCGAAAGCCUGAUCCAGCCAUGCCGCGUGUGUGAAGAAGGUCUUCGGAUUGUAAAGCACUUUAAGUUGGGAGGAAGGGCAGUAAGUUAAUACCUUGCUGUUUUGACGUUACCAACAGAAUAAGCACCGGCUAACUUCGUG